Molecule: small RNA, 52 nt
Filed under: Sinorhizobium meliloti 2011
Lineage: Bacteria; Pseudomonadati; Pseudomonadota; Alphaproteobacteria; Hyphomicrobiales; Rhizobiaceae
Description: putative ncRNA
Source: RNAcentral
GUCUGCAUCGGUCGAUCGAGAACGAUCCGCAGGGUGCCUGCGGUAAGUUCCU